AAACUUUCUAACUCAGCAAAUAAGAACAGGAAUAGUGCAAUGCAGAUGCACAUUCAGACUGAGUUGUCCCUGUGCUUUUCAAUUCAUCAUGGCAGCUUCACUGGCAGUUUCUGUUCCCUUUAUC
Long non-coding RNA from Oxyura jamaicensis (ruddy duck), 124 nucleotides. RefSeq lists it as uncharacterized. The record is from RefSeq and is a predicted model, not a curated record. The transcript is spliced from 3 exons. NCBI's taxonomy places the organism in Eukaryota, Metazoa, Chordata, Aves, Anseriformes, Anatidae.